CAGCCGCCACGGUAAUACAGAGGGUGCGAGCGUUAAUCGGAUUUACUGGGCGUAAAGCGUGCGUAGGCGGCUUCUUAAGUCGGAUGUGAAAUUCCUGAGCUUAACUUAGGAAUUGCAUUCGAUACUGGGAAGCUAGAGUAUGGGAGAGGAUGGUAGAAUUCCAGGUGUAGCGGUGAAAUGCGUAGAGAUCUGGAGGAAUACCGAUGGCGAAGGCAGCCAUCUGGCCUAAUACUGACGCUGAGGUACGAAAGCAUGGGGAGCAAACAGGAUUAGAUACCCCAGUAGUCCCUGUCUCUUAUAC
This 301-nucleotide ribosomal RNA is filed under the name uncultured bacterium. Its description in RNAcentral is "partial 16S ribosomal RNA". It matches the Rfam family "Bacterial small subunit ribosomal RNA", at positions 509 to 807 of the family's 1533-position model. The record is from RNAcentral.